Molecule: ribosomal RNA, 879 nt
Filed under: Triticum aestivum (bread wheat)
Lineage: Eukaryota; Viridiplantae; Streptophyta; Magnoliopsida; Poales; Poaceae
Description: partial small subunit ribosomal RNA
Source: RNAcentral
AUGGGGAGCAGCGCCAAGAAGCAGGAAGCCGUGAGGCGGUACGUCAGAUCCCGGGCUCCCAGGAUGCAAUGGACGGCCGAGCUCCACCGCAGCUUCCUGCAGGCCAUAGAGUGCCUCGGUGGAGAACACAAUGCCACUCCUAAGCUGGUUCUCAAGGUCAUGGGUGUGAAGGAGCUUACCAUAUCCCAUGUCAAGAGCCAUCUGCAGAUGUACAGAGGCCCGAGCACUCGCAAGGCCAAGAGAGAGGCGCAACCAGGGCUGCAAAGGAGGCACUCAUGUGCCGCUGAUGAGCAAGGAGGAGCCCCCUUCAUGUGCCCACCUCUGAAAAGGGCGAGGACGGGGGCGGGGACAGAGGCCGCGGGCGAAGGCAUGCAAGGCGGCCAAAGCCAAGGAAUCAGUGGGAUGAAGACCAGCGGCGCUGUCAACCCGUACUGCAUUGAUGAUUACUACAUGCAAGCCAUGGCCAUGGAGAGGAGAAUAAUGGAGGGCCUCAGCGGCUGGCAGAGGGAUGCUGCUGCUGCGGCUGCUGUUUCCGACCUCCGGACCGUGGGAUGCUUGGAGCAAGGAUCCGGCGACUUUAAGAUAAUCAAACCAGAAGCACACCACUACUAUCCUGGUCUUGCGGUGAAGAAGCAAGGACCCAAGGAGAAGGACGGCAACGGGACGGAGCAGUGCUCCCUGUCGCUGUCCCUUGGCCUGGACCCGAGAUGCCUCCGUGCCGCCGUCUCAUCCUCGUCGCCGAGCGAAGGGAGCUGCAUCGUCUCCUCGUCGCCGCCGCCGAGGAGGAGGAGCUCCAGCCACUGCUCCGGGCACUCCGGCUACUCCGACACCCAGGGCGUCAACUUGGACCUCUCCUUGUCCAUCUGCGGAUCUUAUUAG